Molecule: non-coding RNA, 634 nt
Organism: Theobroma umbraticum
Lineage: Eukaryota; Viridiplantae; Streptophyta; Magnoliopsida; Malvales; Malvaceae
Source: RefSeq, a predicted model, not a curated record
UUCUUCUUAAGCUUUAAGAAAUACUCGUUUAUGAUUCAUGCUCUGAUGUUGCCUUAAAUACUGGAUGGUGAAAGUGGAGUGGAUUCAUCAGAACAGGAGACUUGAGAUCAUUAAGAGCUCUUCACUGUCUAGAACAUGAAUAUCUGGUUACUCAUAAAAGGUUUCUCUUUCAUAUCUCUUUUCUAAUAUAAGUUUGAAUGAUAGUUGUACGUUGCAACUUGUUCACCUGCUCGAGAUGCUGGAGCCGGUUACGUGGCUUGGGGUCACUCAACCCUAAUUGGACCUUUUGGAGAAGUUCUGGCUACCACUGAACAUGAGGAGAACAUAAUCAUAGCAGAGAUUGAUUAUUCGAUACUUGAGCAACGAAGGGCAAGUCUCCCUUUAGCAAAACAACGGCGAGGUGAUCUUUACCAGUUGGUAGACAUCCAGAGACUCAACUCUCAUUGAUUACGGAAGAGAACCUUGUGAGAGAGCUAUGAUUCAUGGUGAGAAUUUUCAUCAAGAAAGGUGGAAUUCUAUUGAUAAUCAUGAGACUCUUCUAGUCCUUUGAAUGCAGUAUUUAGCGAGAUGCUAAUCAUUUGGAUGAUUACUGGAAACUCAUAUUUGGGAAUAAAUGGAAUUGUUACUGUUGUCA